RNAcentral lists this ribosomal RNA (488 nucleotides) under Haemophilus sp. 'ARUP UnID 343'. RNAcentral's name for it is "bacterial SSU rRNA". It matches the Rfam family "Bacterial small subunit ribosomal RNA", at positions 27 to 504 of the family's 1533-position model. The record is from RNAcentral. Lineage: Bacteria; Pseudomonadati; Pseudomonadota; Gammaproteobacteria; Pasteurellales; Pasteurellaceae.
GAUUGAACGCUGGCGGCAGGCUUAACACAUGCAAGUCGAACGGUAGCAGGAGAAAGCUUGCUUUCUUGCUGACGAGUGGCGGACGGGUGAGUAAUGCUUGGGAAUCUGGCUUAUGGAGGGGGAUAACGACGGGAAACUGUCGCUAAUACCGCGUAGUGUCGAGAGACGAAAGUGCGGGACCGCAAGGCCGCAUGCCAUGGGAUGAGCCCAAGUGGGAUUAGGUAGUUGGUGAGGUAAUGGCUCACCAAGCCUGCGAUCUCUAGCUGGUCUGAGAGGAUGGCCAGCCACACUGGAACUGAGACACGGUCCAGACUCCUACGGGAGGCAGCAGUGGGGAAUAUUGCGCAAUGGGGGGAACCCUGACGCAGCCAUGCCGCGUGAAUGAAGAAGGCCUUCGGGUUGUAAAGUUCUUUCGGUAUUGAGGAAGGGAUGUAUGCUAAUAGUAUACAUCAUUGACGUUAAAUACAGAAGAAGCACCGGCUAACUCC